GUCCGAGAUUCCGUCCAUGUCUCACUUGAGACUCUCAAUGAACAAAAGUAGCAAGCCUUCAUUUAAAUGGCGAAGGGUUUUGCUCAAAGUUAGCGGAGAAGCACUUGCUGGAGACCACUCUCAGAACAUUGACCCUAAGGGAGGUGGCAGCAGUGACUCGCCUUGGCAUUGAGUGGGAUGGAGCUGGACAGGAGCGAUUCAAGACUAUAACAAGCAGUUAUUAUAGAGGAGGGGAUACCAAAGAUACCAGUAGAUCAUCAGAGAAAAAUUCAAUUGAAGAAGAGAUUGAAACUUAAACUGCUGAAGCACAAAUAUUUUCUAGCAAAAAUUGGGGAAGAAGAGAAAGCAGUGAGACAACUCAUGAUGAGGCACAGUCAGAAAAUAAAUUUCUUUGACUUGCUUUAUUUUGGCCUUUUUUUUCUAAAUCAUGCACACAUCUUGGUUUGAUUCGUGCCUUAGCUGUACGGAUAAUUUGCAUGUGUUUAUUUUGUUAUCAAUUUAUAAAGCUUUAAAGCGAA
Molecule: long non-coding RNA, 518 nt
Organism: Glycine soja
Lineage: Eukaryota; Viridiplantae; Streptophyta; Magnoliopsida; Fabales; Fabaceae
Exons: 4
Source: RefSeq, a predicted model, not a curated record